CAAAAACCUCAAUUGCUUUUGU
This 22-nucleotide microRNA is filed under the name Macaca mulatta (Rhesus monkey). RNAcentral's name for it is "mml-miR-548b". Its record names the gene mml-miR-548b. Lineage: Eukaryota; Metazoa; Chordata; Mammalia; Primates; Cercopithecidae. The record is from miRBase by way of RNAcentral.